AAAAAGACAAACUCUGGUUUUCGUGUCCAACGUUUAACCAUUCGUCUUAUUUGAAAAAAUUAUGAAAAAAAAAUUACAUAUAAGACGGACAGUUAAAGUUGGACACGGAAACCCAGGGUUUGCCUUUUU
RNAcentral lists this microRNA precursor (129 nucleotides) under Oryza sativa Japonica Group (Japanese rice). RNAcentral describes it as "MIR812 microRNA precursor family". It matches the Rfam family "MIR812 microRNA precursor family". Lineage: Eukaryota; Viridiplantae; Streptophyta; Magnoliopsida; Poales; Poaceae. The record is from Rfam by way of RNAcentral.